RNAcentral lists this ribosomal RNA (448 nucleotides) under uncultured Streptococcus sp. RNAcentral's name for it is "bacterial SSU rRNA". It matches the Rfam family "Bacterial small subunit ribosomal RNA", at positions 933 to 1382 of the family's 1533-position model. Lineage: Bacteria; Bacillati; Bacillota; Bacilli; Lactobacillales; Streptococcaceae. The record is from RNAcentral.
UGGAGCAUGUGGUUUAAUUCGAAGCAACGCGAAGAACCUUACCAGGUCUUGACAUCCCGAUGCUAUUUCUAGAGAUAGAAAGUUACUUCGGUACAUCGGUGACAGGUGGUGCAUGGUUGUCGUCAGCUCGUGUCGUGAGAUGUUGGGUUAAGUCCCGCAACGAGCGCAACCCCUAUUGUUAGUUGCCAUCAUUCAGUUGGGCACUCUAGCGAGACUGCCGGUAAUAAACCGGAGGAAGGUGGGGAUGACGUCAAAUCAUCAUGCCCCUUAUGACCUGGGCUACACACGUGCUACAAUGGUUGGUACAACGAGUUGCGAGUCGGUGACGGCGAGCUAAUCUCUUAAAGCCAAUCUCAGUUCGGAUUGUAGGCUGCAACUCGCCUACAUGAAGUCGGAAUCGCUAGUAAUCGCGGAUCAGCACGCCGCGGUGAAUACGUUCCCGGGCCUU